This 433-nucleotide ribosomal RNA is filed under the name uncultured bacterium. RNAcentral's name for it is "partial 16S ribosomal RNA". It matches the Rfam family "Bacterial small subunit ribosomal RNA", at positions 29 to 507 of the family's 1533-position model. The record is from RNAcentral.
AACGAACGCUGGCGGCAUGCCUAACACAUGCAAGUCGAACGAGACCUUCGGGUCUAGUGGCGCACGGGUGCGUAACGCGGGGGAACCUGCCCUUAGGUUCCGAAUAACUCCCCGAAAGGGGUGCUAAUACCGGAUAAUGUCAUCGGACCAAAGAUUUCUCGCGUUUGGAUGGGCCCGGGUUGGAUUAGUUAGUUGGUAGGGUAAAAGCCGACCAAGGGCACGAUCCAUAGCUGGUCUGAGAGGAGGAUAAAGCACGAUGGGACUGAGACACGGCCUAGUAUCCGACGGGAGGCAGGAGUGGGGAAUAUUGGACGAGGAGCGAAAGUCUGAUACAGCCAUGCCGGGGAAGUGAUGAAGGGCUUAGGGUUGUAAAGCUCUCUUAGCCGAGAUGAUAAUGACAGUACCGGGAGAAUAAGCACCGGCUAACUACGUG